This is a long non-coding RNA of Dama dama (fallow deer), 407 nucleotides long. RefSeq lists it as uncharacterized. The transcript is spliced from 2 exons. The record is from RefSeq and is a predicted model, not a curated record. NCBI's taxonomy places the organism in Eukaryota, Metazoa, Chordata, Mammalia, Artiodactyla, Cervidae.
AGAAGAUGUAGCCGGCCGUGGACGAGAUGUUUCCUGAGGGCGCCGGGCCGUAUGUGGACCUGGACGAGGCAGGAGGCAGCACUGGGCUCCUGAUAGACUUGGCAGCCAAUGAAAAGGCAGUUCACGCAGACUUUUUCAAUGAUUUUGAAGAUCUCUUUGACAAUGAUGAUAUCCAGUGAGGUGUGUCCAGUGGUGCAUUUGGUCAAGCUUAGCCACGUGGUGGUGUGGUGGGUCUCCUUAAAGGACAGUUUCAGGUGGUUCCAGAGAACUUGUGGGAAUCGCUAGAAUUUAGGAGAUGAUUAGCCAAGAAAGAGAAGAAGGUUUUAACCAUCUGGAGGAGGCCUGUUAAACUCUGAAUGUGGCCAGCUUUUGUCCUUAACUUCAGUUAAAAUAAAGUGAUGUUAUUA